This is a long non-coding RNA of Cyprinus carpio (common carp), 733 nucleotides long. Lineage: Eukaryota; Metazoa; Chordata; Actinopteri; Cypriniformes; Cyprinidae. The record is from Ensembl.
GGAACAUGUCUCAGGUAUGUAACAUAAAAUCUGUUUUAUAAUUAUUUAUAUAUAUUAAUACUGGUGAUCUGAGUGAGUGUUGAUUGUUUCGUUUGGUUUAUUUCAGUGGAAUAUUUUCAGAUUUCUACUGAACUGACCGCGAAGUUAAAAUCGCGCCUUCAUACUCUAUCCAUUUUAAAACUAAUGCUGCGUUUCCACCGCUGGAACUUCCCCCAGAAACUAGGAACUUUGGGCUGGUAUUCGGAGAGCCACUAAGCUCAGACAAGUGGAUGAUGUCUUUGGAAGGAACAAUUGUGAUGGGGCCCCACAACAACCUUCUGAAUGGAGUGACCUUCGCUGCCUACUAUGUGUUUAACUUACAGUAUCCUAAUGAGGCCUCAAGCACUAAAGGCUCUAUGAUAUACUCUAUCCAACAGCAGAAGACACCAGGAGUGGGGAAGGUUUCAUCAUGUGUCUGCUUGCUCACUUCAAGGAGGGGGAUGGUAUCUUCCUUACGGCUGAUAGCCUUUUGCGGCAUAAAUCCCCAGACGGGCAGCAAGGCAGAGAAGAAACGAGGUCUGAACGCACCAGUUUGCACUCUUCUUAGGAAACUGCUGGAUUUUGAAUUGGUGGGCAGGGGACAUUAGAGGAUCACUCCAUAAACUCGCUCAACCAGUUUGGUACAGUUACAGAUUGUUUGUCAACAGUUUUAAGAGAAAAUAAAAAUAUAUUUUAAAAAAAUACUAAGUGUUUU